Molecule: transfer RNA, 66 nt
Filed under: Eospalax fontanierii baileyi (plateau zokor)
Lineage: Eukaryota; Metazoa; Chordata; Mammalia; Rodentia; Spalacidae
Also listed under: 1 other name
Description: tRNA-Val
Source: RNAcentral
CACAGUGUAGCUUAAUAUAAAGUUUCUGGCCUACACCCAGAAGAUUCCACUAAAUGGACACUUUGA